Molecule: non-coding RNA, 113 nt
Organism: Parastrongyloides trichosuri
Lineage: Eukaryota; Metazoa; Nematoda; Chromadorea; Rhabditida; Strongyloididae
Source: Rfam
AUAGAUACGGCGAUAUGUCACCUCAAACGUCAAUGGGUAGACUAGUAGGAAGUUUAUGUGCUAUAAUGGGUGUCCUUACAAUUGCAUUACCUGUACCUGUUAUUGUUUCCAAU